UAUAAGAUCCUCUGAGACCUCAGAGAAAGG
Molecule: non-coding RNA, 30 nt
Filed under: Mus musculus (house mouse)
Lineage: Eukaryota; Metazoa; Chordata; Mammalia; Rodentia; Muridae
Source: RNAcentral